UACAGAGGUCUCAAGCGUUGUUCGGAUUCAUUGGGCGUAAAGGGUGCGUAGGUGGCGUGGUAAGUCGGGUGUGAAAUUUCGGAGCUUAACUCCGAAACUGCAUUCGAUACUGACGUGCUUGAGGACUGGAGAGGAGACUGGAAUUUACGGUGUAGCAGUGAAAUGCGUAGAGAUCGUAAGGAAGACCAGUGGCGAAGGCGGGUCUCUGGACAGUUCCUGACACUGAGGCACGAAGGCCAGGGGAGCAAACGGG
Molecule: ribosomal RNA, 253 nt
Filed under: uncultured bacterium
Lineage: Bacteria
Description: partial 16S ribosomal RNA
Rfam family: Bacterial small subunit ribosomal RNA
Source: RNAcentral